UGGGGAAUAUUGCGCAAUGGGGGGAACCCUGACGCAGCAACGCCGCGUGAAGGAGGAAGGUUUUCGGAUUGUAAACUUCUUUGAUGAGGGACGAAAAGAUGACGGUACCUCAAAAACAAGCCACGGCUAACUACGUGCCAGCAGCCGCGGUAAUACGUAGGUGGCGAGCGUUAUCCGGAAUUACUGGGUGUAAAGGGCGCGCAGGCGGGGAGACAAGUCAGAUGUGAAAUACCGGUGCUUAACACCGGGACUGCAACUGAAACUGUUUUUCUUGAGUGUCGGAGAGGGAAGCGGAAUUCCCAGUGUAGCGGUGAAAUGCGUAGAUAUUGGGAGGAACACCAGUGGCGAAGGCGGCUUUCUGGACGACAACUGACGCUGAGGCGCGAAAGCUAGGGGAGCAAACGGG
This 406-nucleotide ribosomal RNA is filed under the name uncultured prokaryote. RNAcentral's name for it is "bacterial SSU rRNA". It matches the Rfam family "Bacterial small subunit ribosomal RNA", at positions 355 to 776 of the family's 1533-position model. The record is from RNAcentral. RNAcentral also lists the same sequence under 1 other name.